Molecule: small nucleolar RNA, 117 nt
Filed under: Echinops telfairi (small Madagascar hedgehog)
Lineage: Eukaryota; Metazoa; Chordata; Mammalia; Afrosoricida; Tenrecidae
Description: Small nucleolar RNA SNORA61 (ENSETEG00000025276.1)
Source: RNAcentral
ACCUCUAGAUUUCUCUCCUAUGAAACCAAACACUGGUCUGAAUGGUUAUAACAGGAGAAAAGUAAUAUCUGAACUGACUUCAUUCUUUUGUAGCACAUAGACCCGUUUCAAACAGGA